GAUGAAGAACGUAGCGAAAUGCGAUAAGUAAUGUGAAUUGCAGAAUUCAGUGAAUCAUCGAAUCUUUGAACGCACAUUGCGCCCCUUGGUAUUCCGAGGGGCAUGCCUGUUCGAGCGUCAUAUUAACCACUCCCGCUUGCGGGGUCUUGGGCUUCGCCUCCGGGCGGGCCUUAAAAUCAGUGGCGGUGCCGUCGGGCUCUACGCGUAGUAAAUUUUCUCGCGAUAGGGUCCCGGUGGAUGCUUGCCAACAACCCCCAACUUCUUACGGUUGACCUCGGAUCAGGUAGGGAUACCCGCUGAACUUAAGCAUAUCAAUAAGCGGAGGA
RNAcentral lists this unclassified non-coding RNA (326 nucleotides) under soil metagenome. Its description in RNAcentral is "partial contains 5.8S ribosomal RNA, internal transcribed spacer 2, and large subunit ribosomal RNA". The stretch from base 1 to 120 matches the Rfam family "5.8S ribosomal RNA", at positions 35 to 154 of the family's 154-position model. The record is from RNAcentral.